AUCUGCUAAAUUUCUGUAAGAGCUAUGAUUACUAGGAUUGAUGCUACGACUGGUAAGAAUUAACGGAGCCUGAGAAGCGGUUACUAUGUCCAAGAAAGGCAGCAGGAGCGUAAAUUACCCACUUCCAGAACGGGGAGGUAGUGACGAAAAAUAACAAUAUGGGACACUUUUGAGACCCCGUGAUUGGAAUGACGAUCAAUUGGAAGGUAAGUCUGGUGCCAACAGCCGCAGUAAUUCCAGAUCCAAUAGCAUAU
RNAcentral lists this ribosomal RNA (254 nucleotides) under Stegodyphus mimosarum. Its description in RNAcentral is "eukaryotic small subunit ribosomal RNA". It matches the Rfam family "Eukaryotic small subunit ribosomal RNA", at positions 85 to 602 of the family's 1831-position model. Lineage: Eukaryota; Metazoa; Arthropoda; Arachnida; Araneae; Eresidae. The record is from RNAcentral.